CGGAUAAAAGGUACUCCGGGGAUAACAGGCUGAUACCGCCCAAGAGUUCACAUCGACGGCGGUGUUUGGCACCUCGAUGUCGGCUCAUCACAUCCUGGGGCUGAAGCCGGUCCCAAGGGUAUGGCUGUUCGCCAUUUAAAGUGGUACGCGAGCUGGGUUUAGAACGUCGUGAGACAGUUCGGUCCCUAUCUGCCGUGGGCGUUUGAGAAUUGAGAGGAGCUGCUCCUAGUACGAGAGGACCGGAGUGGACGAACCUCUGGUGUUCCGGUUGUUACGCCAGUAGCAUCGCCGGGUAGCUAAGUUCGGAAAGGAUAACCGCUGAAAGCAUCUAAGCGGGAAGCCUACCUCGAGAUGAGUUCUCACUAAAUCUGCGAGAUUUACGAAGGGCCCUCGUAGACUACGAGGUUGAUAGGCGGGGUGUGGAAGCGUUGUAAGGCGUUAAGCUAACCCGUACUAAUUGCCCGAGCGGCUUGACCAU
Molecule: ribosomal RNA, 478 nt
Filed under: Gammaproteobacteria bacterium
Lineage: Bacteria; Pseudomonadati; Pseudomonadota; Gammaproteobacteria
Description: partial 23S ribosomal RNA
Rfam family: Bacterial large subunit ribosomal RNA
Source: RNAcentral